Molecule: long non-coding RNA, 874 nt
Organism: Rhineura floridana
Lineage: Eukaryota; Metazoa; Chordata; Lepidosauria; Squamata; Rhineuridae
Exons: 4
Source: RefSeq, a predicted model, not a curated record
UGAUGGGCAGAGAUAAACAUGGGUCUCUUCCCCCCUCCUUUUUUUUCCCAAUAAACAAGACUUAGAUUGCAAUCUUAACCCCUUCACCAAGGAGUAAGCCCCAUUGAAUUCAAUUGGGGCUUACUUCUGAGUAGACACUGAUAGGAUUGCUGAAGGCAGAUGGGAAGUGGGAUGCUCCUCUAAGAUACACCCUCCCCCCUGUUGACAUCAGACAUGCAGGACCAUCCCCAGGAAACAGUUCCACUGUAUACACCUGGGAUUUACCAGUCACGUUUUGAAGCUGGAGUGCAGCUGAUUUUGGGGAUACCGCAUCAAAAGACAGUAUUUCAGAAGAAAUGAGUGGACUGUGGGUAAUUGUGGAUGCAGAAGAGAAGCUUGGAGACAACACGUGAGCACUGCAGCUACAAUCCUAUACCCACUUAUCUGAACUUACAACCUAGACACUUAACUCACUUCUUGCACUCUAAGGGAUAGGGAAUAUGAAGGAAUGACAGAUGGGGCAGGUGAGAGGCAAACGAUCUUACAUACUAGCAGACUGUCAGCAAACACAUUGUGAAUUAUGUAUGUGGCCCUCAGAACAUUGUCCAGAAGGGAAUGUGGCUCUUGGAUUGAAAAAGGUUCCCAACUCCUGUUGUACUGAGUGACUCUGCUUAUCAGCCAAGCCUGGGUCUGCUGAUCAGUCAAAACCUUCCACCUUUGCACCAACAAAACACAACAAAGAAAAUGGCAGUUACAGGAGUUUUGUGACUUCAGAAGAUAUCUCUGCCAUUUUAGAAGCAAAGUGGCUACAUUCCUUCCCAUUUAAUUAUGAAGCUAUUCUCCAUCAAUUCAAACUAAUCAUCUACAAAAUUAAAUGCAGUUGUGCAAACACAAA